AUGUGUUUGCAGGCCGAAGAAAUCCCGUGCACCAUACUCUACUUGAUCAAAGGCCAGAAGGUGGACGUGAGAAAGGGGAUGAUAAUGAACCCCUUGCAACCCACGUUCCACAACCAGCCGAUCCCCGCUAGGCACUUCAGGGUUAACUUGUCCAGUGUGAAAUCGGGGCACGAGGAUUUGCCUCCUCCAAUACAGCAUAUGGGAGAGGACGACGAGACUCCGCCGCGGAUUGGAAGCUGCAAUGGUUGGGUGCUGCUAUGGCCGAAGAAUCUUAUUCGUCUAGAGCCGGCCGAGAGCACACCAAUAACCACACAUCAACAAGCAUGUGCGGAGACUGAGGGAGUCCUGGAUUAG
This 354-nucleotide ribosomal RNA is filed under the name Triticum aestivum (bread wheat). RNAcentral describes it as "partial small subunit ribosomal RNA". The record is from RNAcentral. Lineage: Eukaryota; Viridiplantae; Streptophyta; Magnoliopsida; Poales; Poaceae.